This is a long non-coding RNA of Pollicipes pollicipes, 931 nucleotides long. RefSeq lists it as uncharacterized. The record is from RefSeq and is a predicted model, not a curated record. The transcript has 4 exons. NCBI's taxonomy places the organism in Eukaryota, Metazoa, Arthropoda, Thecostraca, Pollicipedomorpha, Pollicipedidae.
CAUGUUUUCAUCACAAGUGCUUCUGUCAACAGAUAGCGACAAAGGUAUGACAACGGAGACAGACUUCUUCCUGUUGGUGGAUUCUACGGCACAUUUGGAUAAUCCAUAGCCCUUGAAGUUGCCCAUUGAACAGAACAGUGACGUAGUUACACCGAUGCUGGCGCGGAUUUACACCACCAGGGGCAAUUUCAUGACGGAGCCCAGUGUGGACAUGUUGGCGGCUUCGCCGGCGGAAUGCAAGGCAAUAGUUACCAACAAACGGAAGAUUAUGGGAUGAAGGUUCUGUGGUUACUGCAUCACUGGGCACGGCUACACAGUGGAUGACGGCAAGCUGAGGCCGGUCUCCAAGUUUCCACGGCCGGAGAAUGUGACCGACCUCCGGUCCUUCAUGGGACUCACAAACCAGUUGAGCGACUUCUCUUCGGAGCUCGCCUGCCUGGCUCAGCCUCUACGAGACCUGCUGAAACAGAAGACGGUGUGGAACUGGGCCGUCCUACACGAAGACGCAUUCCAGUGUGAAGAAUGCGCUGGUGGCGCCGCCUAUCCUGGCCUUCUUCGACCCGCUCGCCCAGACGGCGCUGCACACCGACGCCUCACGGAUUCGCGGCCUCGGUUUCGCGCUCAUGUAGCGACAUGCAGGCACCUGGAAGAUACAGUGCGGAUCUCAGUUUUUAACCGACACAGUGUCACGAAACUCGGCCAUCGAACUCGAGCGUCUGGCUGUCCUGUGGCCAUGCCGUAAAUGCUACACGUACCUGGCCGGCCUCCAGCAUUUUAAGGUGGUGGUAGAUCAUGGACCGCUGGUACCGAUACUCAACUCUAAACGGCUCACGGAAAGCGAAAAUCCUCGACUGCAGCGUCUCAGAGAGAAGCUAACACCGUACAGUUUCACCAUCAGCUGGCAAAAAUAGGUGAUGCGCUGCAUCCCAGA